This 1210-nucleotide ribosomal RNA is filed under the name metagenome. Its description in RNAcentral is "bacterial SSU rRNA". It matches the Rfam family "Bacterial small subunit ribosomal RNA", at positions 297 to 1498 of the family's 1533-position model. The record is from RNAcentral.
AGGACGACCAGUCACACUGGAACUGAGACACUGCCCAGACACCUACGGGUGGCUGCAGUCGAGAAUCUUCGGCAAUGGGCGAAAGCCUGACCGAGCGAUGCCACGUGCGGGAUGAAGGCCCUCGGGUUGUAAACCGCUGUCGUAGGGGAGGAAGGUUCCGUGAAGAGCGGAACUUGACCUAGCCUAGGAGGAAGUACGGGCUAAGUUCGUGCCAGCAGCCGCGGUAACACGAACCGUACGAACGUUAUUCGGAAUUACUGGGCUUAAAGGGUUUGUAGGCGGCCUUAUAAGUCAGGUGUGAAAGCCCUCGGCUCAACCGAGGAAUAGCGCUUGAUACUGUAAGGCUUGAGGGAGACAGGGGUAAGCGGAACUGAUGGUGGAGCGGUGAAAUGCGUUGAUAUCAUCAGGAACACCGGUGGCGAAAGCGGCUUACUGGGUCUCUUCUGACGCUGAGGAACGAAAGCUAGGGUAGCGAACGGGAUUAGAUACCCCGGUAGUCCUAGCUGUAAACGAUGAGCACUUAUCUGGGGAUCCUCCCAUAGGUUCCCGGAUGUAGCGAAAGUGUUAAGUGCUCCGCCUGGGGAGUAUGGUCGCAAGGCUGAAACUCAAAGAAAUUGACGGGGGCUCACACAAGCGGUGGAGGAUGUGGCUUAAUUCGAGGCUACGCGAAGAACCUUAUCCAGGCCUUGACAUGUACGGAUUAACCCGGUGAAAGCCGGGCCACGCCUUCGGGUGGAACGUGCACAGGUGCUGCAUGGCUGUCGUCAGCUCGUGUCGUGAGAUGUCGGGUUAAGUCCCUUAACGAGCGAAACCCUUGUCUCUAGUUGCCAGCGAGUAAUGUCGGGGACUCUAGAGAGACUGCCGGUGUUAAACCGGAGGAAGGCGGGGAUGACGUCAAGUCCUCAUGGCCUUUAUGGCCUGGGCUGCACACGUCCUACAAUGGUAUCUACAAAGGGAAGCAAGCUCGCGAGAGUAAGCAAAUCCCAUAAAGGAUGCCCCAGUUCGGAUUGCAGGCUGCAACUCGCCUGCAUGAAGCCGGAAUCGCUAGUAAUCGCGGGUCAGCAUACCGCGGUGAAUGUGUUCCUGAGCCUUGUACAUACCGCCCGUCAAGCCACGAAAGUGGGGGGGGCUUAAAGCCGCCGUGCCAACCCGCAAGGGAAGCAGGCGUCUAGAGUCAACUCCGUGAUUGGGACUAAGUCGUAACAAGGUA